AACGAACGCUGGCGGCAUGCCUAACACAUGCAAGUCGAACGAGACCUUCGGGUCUAGUGGCGCACGGGUGCGUAACGCGUGGGAACCUGCCCUUAGGUUCGGAAUAACUCCCCGAAAGGGGUGCUAAUACCGGAUAAUGUCUUCGGACCAAAGAUUUAUCGCCUUUGGAUGGGCCCGCGUUGGAUUAGCUGGUUGGUAGGGUAAAAGCCUACCAAGGCGACGAUCCAUAGCUGGUCUGAGAGGAUGACCAGCCAGACUGGGACUGGGACACGGCCCAGACUCCGACGGGAGGCAGCAGUGGGGAAUAUUGGACAAUGGGCGAAAGCCUGAUCCAGCAAUGCCGCGUGAGUGAUGAAGGCCUUAGGGUUGUAAAGCUCUUUUACACGGGAUGAUAAUGACAGUACCGGGAGAAUAAGCACCGGCUAACUCCGUG
Molecule: ribosomal RNA, 433 nt
Filed under: uncultured bacterium
Lineage: Bacteria
Description: partial 16S ribosomal RNA
Rfam family: Bacterial small subunit ribosomal RNA
Source: RNAcentral